RNAcentral lists this ribosomal RNA (359 nucleotides) under uncultured bacterium. RNAcentral's name for it is "bacterial SSU rRNA". It matches the Rfam family "Bacterial small subunit ribosomal RNA", at positions 134 to 507 of the family's 1533-position model. The record is from RNAcentral.
CUCGUAGGUAAGCCUGGGAAACUGGGUCUAAUACCGGAUAGGACCAUGGACUUCACGGUUUGUGGUGGAAAGCUUUUGCGGUGUGGGAUGGGCCCGCGGCCUAUCAGCUUGUUGGUGGGGUAAUGGCCUACCAAGGCGACGACGGGUAGCCGGCCUGAGAGGGUGUCCGGCCACACUGGGACUGAGAUACGGCCCAGACUCCUACGGGAGGCAGCAGUGGGGAAUAUUGCACAAUGGGCGCAAGCCUGAUGCAGCGACGCCGCGUGAGGGAUGACCCGGCCUUCGGGUUGUAAACCUCUUUCAAUAGGGACGAAGCGCAAGUGACGGUACCUAUAGAAGAAGCACCGGCCAACUACGUG